UGAGGAAUAUUGGUCAAUGGGCGAGAGCCUGAACCAGCCAAAUCGCGUGAAGGAAGACUGCCUUAUGGGUUGCAAACUUCUUUUAUACAGGAAUAAAAAAGGGGACGUGUCCCUUAUUGCAUGUACUGUAUGAAUAAGCAUCGGCUAACUCCGUGCCAGCAGCCGCGGUAAUACGGAGGAUGCGAGCGUUAUCCGGAUUUAUUGGGUUUAAAGGGUGCGCAGGCGGGCUUUUAAGUCAGCGGUGAAAUCUCGGGGCUUAACUCCGAAACUGCCGUUGAAACUGGGAGUCUUGAGUAUGGAUGAAGUAGGCGGAAUUCGUUGUGUAGCGGUGACAUGCUUAGAUAUAACGAGGAACUCCGAUUGCGUAGGCAGCUUACUAAGCCAUAACUGACGCUCAAGCACGAAAGCGUGGGGAUCAAAACAGGAUUAGAUACCCUGGUAGUCCACGCCGUAAAACGAUGAUUACUAGUUGUAUGCGAUAUACCGUAUGUGACUAAGCGAAAAGCGAUAAGUAAUCCACCUGGGGAGUACGCCGGCAACGGUGAAACUCAAAUGAAUUGACGGGGUCAUAGCUGUUUCCUG
RNAcentral lists this ribosomal RNA (582 nucleotides) under uncultured bacterium. RNAcentral's name for it is "partial 16S ribosomal RNA". It matches the Rfam family "Bacterial small subunit ribosomal RNA", at positions 355 to 1376 of the family's 1533-position model. The record is from RNAcentral.